Molecule: ribosomal RNA, 497 nt
Filed under: uncultured bacterium
Lineage: Bacteria
Description: partial 16S ribosomal RNA
Rfam family: Bacterial small subunit ribosomal RNA
Source: RNAcentral
GAUGAACGCUGGCGGCGUGCCUAAUACAUGCAAGUCGAGCGAACAGACGAGGAGCUUGCUCCUCUGACGUUAGCGGCGGACGGGUGAGUAACACGUGGAUAACCUACCUAUAAGACUGGGAUAACUUCGGGAAACCGGAGCUAAUACCGGAUAAUAUAUUGAACCGCAUGGUUCAAUAGUGAAAGACGGUUUUGCUGUCACUUAUAGAUGGAUCCGCGCCGCAGUAGCUAGUUGGUAAGGUAACGGCUUACCAAGGCAACGAUGCGUAGCCGACCAGAGAGGGUGAUCGGCCACACUGGAACUGAGACACGGUCCAGACUCCUACGGGAGGCAGCAGUAGGGAAUCUUCCGCAAUGGGCGAAAGCUUGACGGAGCAACGCCGCGUGAGUGAUGAAGGUCUUCGGAUCGUAAAACUCUGUUAUUAGGGAAGAACAAAUGUGUAAGUAACUAUGCACGUCUUGACGGUACCUAAUCAGAAAGCCACGGCUAACUACGUG